Molecule: ribosomal RNA, 271 nt
Filed under: uncultured Staphylococcus sp.
Lineage: Bacteria; Bacillati; Bacillota; Bacilli; Caryophanales; Staphylococcaceae
Description: partial 16S ribosomal RNA
Rfam family: Bacterial small subunit ribosomal RNA
Source: RNAcentral
ACGUUAGCGGCGGACGGGUGAGUAACACGUGGGUAACCUACCUAUAAGACUGGGAUAACUUCGGGAAACCGGAGCUAAUACCGGAUAAUAUUUCGAACCGCAUGGUUCGAUAGUGAAAGAUGGUUUUGCUAUCACUUAUAGAUGGACCCGCGCCGUAUUAGCUAGUUGGUAAGGUAACGGCUUACCAAGGCGACGAUACGUAGCCGACCUGAGAGGGUGAUCGGCCACACUGGAACUGAGACACGGUCCAGACUCCUACGGGAGGCAGCAG